RNAcentral lists this ribosomal RNA (397 nucleotides) under uncultured bacterium. RNAcentral describes it as "bacterial SSU rRNA". It matches the Rfam family "Bacterial small subunit ribosomal RNA", at positions 30 to 429 of the family's 1533-position model. The record is from RNAcentral.
AUUGAACGCUGGCGGCAUGCCUUACACAUGCAAGUCGAACGGCAGCGGGCCUUCGGGUGCCGGCGAGUGGCGAACGGGUGAGUAAUGCAUCGGAACGUGCCAUUGAGUGGGGGAUAACGUAGCGAAAGUUGCGCUAAUACCGCAUAUUCUGUGAGCAGGAAAGCAGGGGACCGCAAGGCCUUGCGCUCUUUGAGCGGCCGAUGUCAGAUUAGCUAGUUGGUGAGGUAAAGGCUUACCAAGGCGACGAUCUGUAGCGGGUCUGAGAGGAUGAUCCGCCACACUGGAACUGAGACACGGUCCAGACUCCUACGGGAGGCAGCAGUGGGGAAUUUUGGACAAUGGGGGCAACCCUGAUCCAGCCAUGCCGCGUGAGUGAAGAAGGCCUUCGGGUUGUAAA